Molecule: ribosomal RNA, 506 nt
Filed under: uncultured bacterium
Lineage: Bacteria
Description: partial 16S ribosomal RNA
Rfam family: Bacterial small subunit ribosomal RNA
Source: RNAcentral
GAUGAACGCUAGCUACAGGCUUAACACAUGCAAGUCGAGGGGUAACGAGAGGAAAGCUUGCUUUCCUUGUCGACGACCGGCGCACGGGUGAGUAACGCGUAUCCAACCUGCCCCCAACUAGGGAAUAACCUUGCGAAAGUAAGACUAAUACCCUAUAAUUUCCUCAGAUGUCAUCUGACGAGGAAUAAAGAUUUAUCGGUUGUGGAUGGGGAUGCGUCUGCUUAGCUUGUUGGCGGGGGAACGGCCCACCAAGGCAACGAUCAGUAGGGGUUCAGAGAGGAAGGUCCCCCAGAUUGGAACUACGACACGGUCCAAACGCCUACGGGAGGCAGCAGUGGGGAAUAUUGGUCAAUGGGCGGAAGCCUGAACCAGCCAAGUAGCGUGCAGGAUGACGGCCAUAUGGGUUGUAAACUGCUUUUAUACAGGAAUAAAGUUAGCCACGUGUGGUUAUUUGUAGGUACUGUAUGAAUAAGGACCGGCUAAUUCCGUGCCAGCCGCCGCCGUAA